This 148-nucleotide small RNA is filed under the name Macaca fascicularis (crab-eating macaque). Its description in RNAcentral is "Metazoan signal recognition particle RNA (ENSMFAG00000062163.1)". RNAcentral also lists the same sequence under 1 other name. Lineage: Eukaryota; Metazoa; Chordata; Mammalia; Primates; Cercopithecidae. The record is from Rfam by way of RNAcentral.
GCUGGGCGUGGUGGCGUGCCCCUGUAAUCCCAGCUACUUGGAAGGCUGAGGUGGGAGAAUUGCUUGAACCCAGGAGGUGGAGGCUGCAGUGAGCCAAGAUUGCACCACUACACUCCAGCCUGGGUGACAGAGCAAGACCCCAUCUCAA